CACUCCUACGGGAGGCAGCAGUGGGGAAUUUUGGACAAUGGGCGAAAGCCUGAUCCAGCAAUGCCGCGUGAGUGAAGAAGGCCUUCGGGUUGUAAAGCUCUUUUGUCAGGGAAGAAACGGUGAAAGCUAAUAUCUUUUGCUAAUGACGGUACCUGAAGAAUAAGCACCGGCUAACUACGUGCCAGCAGCCGCGGUAAUACGUAGGGUGCAAGCGUUAAUCGGAAUUACUGGGCGUAAAGCGUGCGCAGGCGGUUUUGUAAGUCUGAUGUGAAAUCCCCGGGCUCAACCUGGGAAUUGCAUUGGAGACUGCAAGGCUAGAAUCUGGCAGAGGGGGGUAGAAUUCCACGUGUAGCAGUGAAAUGCGUAGAUAUGUGGAGGAACACCGAUGGCGAAGGCAGCCCCCUGGGUCAAGAUUGACGCUCAUGCACGAAAGCGUGGGGAGCAAACAGGAUUAGAUACCCUGGUAGUCCCA
RNAcentral lists this ribosomal RNA (472 nucleotides) under uncultured organism. Its description in RNAcentral is "partial 16S ribosomal RNA". It matches the Rfam family "Bacterial small subunit ribosomal RNA", at positions 334 to 797 of the family's 1533-position model. The record is from RNAcentral.